CCUACGGGAGGCAGCAGUAAGGAAUAUUGGUCAAUGGAGGCAACUCUGAACCAGCCAUGCCGCGUGCAGGAAGACGGCCCUAUGGGUUGUAAACUGCUUUUGAACUAGAGAAAACCUUGGUACGUGUACCGAGUUGAUAGUAUAGUUAGAAUAAGCAUCGGCUAACUUCGUGCCAGCAGCCGCGGUAAGACGAAGGAUGCAAGCGUUAUCCGGAUUCAUUGGGUUUAAAGGGUGCGUAGGCGGACUGAUAAGUCAGUGGUGAAAUCUCUCAGCUUAACUGAGAAACUGCCAUUGAUACUGUUAGUCUAGAGUACAGAUGAUGUGGGCGGAAUAUGACAUGUAGUGGUGAAAUACUUAGAUAUGUCAUAGAACACCGAUUGCGAAGGCAGCUCACAAAACUGUAAACUGACGCUGAGGCACGAAAGUGCGGGGAUCAAACAGGAUUAGAUACCCUGGUAGUCCGCACCGUAAACGAUGAUUACUCGUUGUUGGCGAUAUGACAGUCAGCGACCAAGCGAAAAGCGAUAAGAAUCCACCUGGGGAGUACGCCGGCAACGGUGAAACGUCAAAGGAAUUGACGG
RNAcentral lists this ribosomal RNA (581 nucleotides) under uncultured bacterium. Its description in RNAcentral is "bacterial SSU rRNA". It matches the Rfam family "Bacterial small subunit ribosomal RNA", at positions 338 to 916 of the family's 1533-position model. The record is from RNAcentral.